UUAAGAUAGAAAAAGGCUGAAAACACAAUAAGAACAGAAAAUAAAUUAGAUAAAGAUUCGGCACAAGCAGAAAUAAAGAAAGAAUUGACAAUAAGAAAUUAAAAGAUAAGUCCUAAGAAGCCUUGAAAUCUCGAAAGAUCUCACAACUCCCUUCAAACGGCUCUAAUCUCCCCUCCAAAGAAUAUCAAUGGCAAGAAGAAGGUUGAAGAUGGCUCCCACAAUCACAAGAUUGUUAAAACAACUUCUAAAGAAAACUCAAGAGAGAAAUCUUGGAGAAAACUCAAAGAAAAUUCUGCUCUCAACAAAUCUGAAAUUUUAAUAAUAAUGAUAAGUGUUUAACAAGGUGGACAGCCAUGCCUUUAAAUAGGCAUUAUAACUAGUCCUAAUCUAAUUAGAAAACUAAAAUAAAAAAAACUCCUAAUUAUUUUAAUAUGGAAAUUCGGUCAAAGGUCAUUUUAUCUGGGACUCUUGGACUGAAUAUUGACAUAAAAAUUUAAACUAAGUAAAUAAAUAAAUAAAUAAAUAAAAAUAAAAAUAAAACUUUACAACUUGGGCCACUUUGACAAUUUGGCCUGAUUUUCAACUAAGUAUGGAUAGAUUUCUUGAUUGGGCUGGGAAUUUGCUUAUUGGGCCUCGCCUUCAAGAAUUUGGGCUUUUGUGACUCGUAUCAUUCCCCCCUUCCUCAAAAAGAUUCGUCCUCGAAUCUGAAAAAUCAAAUGAACUCGACUUUCCUCUAUCGAACGGGACUAAUGGCAAUUGAGUCCACUGAAAAGAAUAGCCAUGAGAUAGUAAAUAGCAACGGAAACAAGCUUGUAGUCCAAUCAUAAGCAUAACAGAACAGGUAUAACGCAUGUGAAUGGACAGAUUCAGAUUACCAUGCAAACAAUCUAAUUUACUCACCACUGCCUCGUCAAAUAUUUGAAACAAAGAUGGACAUGUUUUAAGGCAUUCAGUCGUCUCACAUUGUUCCCACAAACCAUGAAUAAAUUGCGAGUAAUAAAUCAAAUGGUAAACAUAAUCGUCACAAGUAGGUAUUUGAAAAGAUUCACAUGGUUCACAGAGUUGCAUAAUCAUACCAUGCAUUAAUCGACGGUCUAUAGAUUCACUCACACAUGCAUUAUCAAAAACAAGAAUCUUUUUAUCAACCAUCAAAAUAGAUAGAUCAUCAAUAAAUAAAAUAGGACAGUCAAGCACGUUUCGAUCUAAGUGUUCAUCAACACGAUCUUUAUCACUAUCCGAGGAGUACAAAAGUGUUUCAAAGGUUUCAAGCAUCUUACCUCGAUAAGCAGAAGAAUAAGGGUUGAUUUUACCUUUUUCAUUUAAAACAAACCUUCGCUCAUCGGGGGCAUAGUGUAGUCGAAUCUUCGUUGUUGAGUUAACGUUUGUCAAAUGGAACUCAAACUUCAUGUACAACCACAUAAACUGUUUAAGGCACGAAUAUAAAUUGAAAACAAAUUUGGAAAAUUUCGUUACCUUAUUCUCCAAAACAGAUUUGGACAAAUUCGAGGAUUUUACACAAGGUAAAUCAAGAGAAUAACAAAUUACGCUUCUUUUCGUAAGGACUUUAUCAACCACAAUCGAAGAGUAACAAUUAAUCGGAUCAAAAUGAGGGGAUCUUUUAAGAACUAAGUCACCAAAAGUUUUAUCAAUAAUUUUCAAAUCUGCACUGGACUCGGUUUCUAAAAUUUCCUUACCUCGCUUACCUUCGGGAUCAUGUAGUGUGAUUUCAUCUUUGCUUAAGUUGAUCGUAUGAAAGCGUCUUUCAUUUGAGAGGUAUUGAAGUUGAAAGUUAUCUUUCGAUCUUUCGGGAACCUGAAAAGUAGCAAUACAAGAAAAAUUCAUAUCUUGGUUAGUGGAAACAUUCCUCACUAGCCUUUCCUCGUCUUUUUCUUUUGUUUCUUUUUCUAACUCAUUUUCUCUUCUUUCUUCAACUUCUUUUUCAAUUUUCUUUUUUGUUUCACAUUCCUUUUCACUCUCAAUCUCUUUUUGCUCUUUUUCAUUCUCUUUUUCUUUUUCCUCACUUGUUUUAACAACAGAAUUUUUCAGUUUGAUUUGGUCCUCAUGGACUUGUUCCGGAGUGAGCGGCACUAAGGUGAUUUUCCUUCCUUGAUACUUGAAAGAAUACCUAUUGGUACGACCAUCGUGAGUGACUUUUCGAUCCAGUUGCCAUGGUUCUCCUAGCAACAAAUGGCAGGCUUGAAUAGGUACUACGUCGCACACGACUUCGUCUUGAUAUUUACCGAUAGAAAAGGCGAUGCGCACUUGUUGAGUGACCUUAAAUUGACUUUCGUUGCUAAGCCCUUGUAGUUGAUAAGGUCGUGGAUGCUUGGUAGUGCUUAAGCAAAGCUUUUCCACCAUCGUCGUGCUGGCUACGUUCGAGCAACUUUCACCAUCAAUAAUAACUCUACAAAGCUUACCUUGUACAUGGCAGCGAGUAUGAAAGAGAUGUUCUCGUUGCUGCUCGCUCUUUGGUUUUGCCAAAGAAGGUUGUCCACGAUCAUGAAAAUCAUCAUCCAUUCUAGGGACACGUUGAGGGUUGCACCUAUGGGGCUGGUUAUCCCUAUCUUCCUUAAUUGGAUCUCGAUAUUGAUGUUUUUGAUUCACUCGCACCUUAUUGAUAGUAGCAGUCAACGCUCGAAGUGCAACAGCCUGUUCGUCCAACUGUUGUUGGAAUUUUUUAAAUAUGUCACUAUUAUUAUCACAUGUAGACAUUUUUUUUUAAAACCUGCAAAACACUCAACACUCAAAAAUAAAAGUUAUCAAACCUCACCGUUAAUCACUCAAAAAGAAAAAAAUCAAAUUCUCAAUGAGGUCGAAUUCAAUCUUGUGAGUUCUUUAUCAGAGUUUAUAUCAACCAAUUAGAGAGUCUGAACCAAACUACCAAAGAAUCCUAAUUUGCACUAGGAUGCCAAAAACUGACGAGACACCAAUUGAUUCGUGUUGCACCGAGGAAGAAGUUGUGCACACGUUUAAAUCCUACUAACACAAGAAACAAGAAGGUGUUAGAUAACGUAAAGGAAGAAUAAAGGUAAACAAAUGAAAACCUACAGCUAAGAAUCAAUAAAAAUUGCUGAAAACAGAAAACCCGAAAACCUGCGGAGUAACUUGACAACUUCGUUCGAGGUGUUCCCGAUCUCAAAAAAUCACAAAAUUAAAUCUGGAAUGUCUUCAAAUAUUUAAUUUUUGAUCUGGAAAAUUUGGGCACCAAAUUCAACCCGCUGAAUAUUUUUUUAAUUUUUUAUUGGAUUUCGUCUUUUUUCAAUUUUUUGACUUUUUCGACUUAUUUUUUUUUGCGGUAAAUAUUUUUGUAUAUUCAAUAACAGUGCCAAAAAUAUGUAUGUAAAAUUUCAGAUCAAUCAGAAAACGUUUACCCACUCAAAUGAAUUUUUUUUCGAAAAUUUUUCUGGGUAAAACUGCUGUUUGUAAUUUAAAAAAUAGAGAUCAGUUUAGAAAUCAACCAAGAACACCCAAAACGCCCAAAAUCUGAUACCAAAUGAUACGGGGUUGUGCGCGGACCAAGAUCGAGUUGCCAAGUCACGAGAAACUCCUACGAAAACCCUAAACAAUUAGAUCUGAAACGAAACAGAAAAUUAAAAGAUUAGAUUUUUAAAUUUUCAGAUCUGAAAUAAAAUCCCCAAAACCAGUAAAGAAUCAAAUAGAGAAUAGAAAUAAGUGUUAAUAAGGAAUCUUGAAACCCUAGAAGAGAUUGCGAUUCUGCCCAAUUGAACACCCAGAUAGUUUUCCCCAAAUUUUGACAAUCUAAUUUCUCCCAAAAAGAGUAUGGAUGAAUCGGCAAGAACCCUAGAAAUUGGGGAUUUUUGGGCUAAUUCCUUAAGAUAGAAAAAGGCUGAAAACACAAUAAGAACAGAAAAUAAAUUAGAUAAAGAUUCGGCACAAGCAGAAAUAAAGAAAGAAUUGACAAUAAGAAAUUAAAAGAUAAGUCCUAAGAAGCCUUGAAAUCUCGAAAGAUCUCACAACUCCCUUCAAACGGCUCUAAUCUCCCCUCCAAAGAAUAUCAAUGGCAAGAAGAAGGUUGAAGAUGGCUCCCACAAUCACAAGAUUGUUAAAACAACUUCUAAAGAAAACUCAAGAGAGAAAUCUUGGAGAAAACUCAAAGAAAAUUUUGCUCUCAACAAAUAUGAAAUUUUAAUAAUAAUGAUAAGUGUUUAACAAGGUGGACAGCCAUGCCUUUAAAUAGGCAUUAUAACUAGUCCUAAUCUAAUUAGAAAACUAAAAUAAAAAAAA
RNAcentral lists this long non-coding RNA (4245 nucleotides) under Gossypium barbadense (sea-island cotton). RNAcentral's name for it is "long non-coding RNA (GBAR_LNC021804)". The record is from RNAcentral. Lineage: Eukaryota; Viridiplantae; Streptophyta; Magnoliopsida; Malvales; Malvaceae.